This 502-nucleotide ribosomal RNA is filed under the name uncultured bacterium. RNAcentral describes it as "partial 16S ribosomal RNA". It matches the Rfam family "Bacterial small subunit ribosomal RNA", at positions 28 to 507 of the family's 1533-position model. The record is from RNAcentral.
GAUUAACGCUGGCGGCGUGCCUAACACAUGCAAGUCGAGCGGCAGCGAGUUUUACACUGAAUUCUGGAAGCUUCUAGUUGAAAUAGAAGAUUUAUUCAAGAAUUUUGUGUAAAAUGUCGGCGAGCGGCGGACGGCUGAGUAACGCGUGGGAACGUACCCCAAAGUGAGGGAUAACGCAUCGAAAGGUGUUCUAAUACCGCAUAUGGUCUUCGGAUUAAAGCCUUCGGGCGCUUUGGGAACGGCCUGCGUAAGAUUAGAUAGUUGGUGGGGUAAUGGCCUACCAAGUCGACGAUCUGUAACUGGUUUGAGAGGAUGAUCAGUCAGACUGGAACUGAGACACGGUCCAGACUCCUACGGGAGGCAGCAGUGAGGAAUCUUCCACAAUGGGCGAAAGCCUGAUGGAGCAACGCCGCGUGCAGGAUGAAGGACUUCGGGUUGUAAACUGCUUUUAUAAGUGAGGAUUAUGACAGUAACUUAUGAAUAAGGAUCGGCUAACUACGUG